GACGAACGCUGGCGGCGUGCUUAACACAUGCAAGUCGAGCGGUAAGGCCCUUUCGGGGUACGACGAGCGGCGAACGGGUAGGAGUAACACGUGGGUGGACCUGCCCUCCAGCUCUGGGAGUAAGACCUCGGGAAACCGGGGUACUAAUAACCGGAUAUGACUCCAUGACGCAUGUUGUGGGGUGGAAAGCCUUGUGCGGCUGAGGAUGGGCCCGCGGCCUAUCAGCUUGUUGGUGGGGUGANGGCCUACCAAGGCGACGACGGGUAGCCGGCCU
This 274-nucleotide ribosomal RNA is filed under the name uncultured bacterium. RNAcentral describes it as "partial 16S ribosomal RNA". It matches the Rfam family "Bacterial small subunit ribosomal RNA", at positions 28 to 293 of the family's 1533-position model. The record is from RNAcentral.